This 891-nucleotide long non-coding RNA is filed under the name Danio rerio (zebrafish). RNAcentral's name for it is "lncRNA si:ch211-229i10.1 (ENSDARG00000098041.2)". The record is from RNAcentral. Lineage: Eukaryota; Metazoa; Chordata; Actinopteri; Cypriniformes; Danionidae.
AUCCAGGAACGAGUUUGGACACCUCUAAUUUUUAAACACAGCUGACAUAGUGCGAGGCUACGGUUUGCGUCACGACGCCGCAGUGAAAAAACGCACGUUAUGUUUCAAAUAUUCGAUGGCGACAAACUAACACGACAAUGUUGAAGAGUAAAAAACAUUGUGCACAGCGGGAAAAUGACAAUAAACUGAAUCGGCAAUGUCAACUACAUGAGCUGGUUUUUGUACGGCUCUAUUUCACUGUGUGAAUCUAAAGCCACCAUAGUCACCGAAGCAAAAAUAAAGCCCUGAAUCUUCACCUCGUGCUCCACUUAUGGUCAGCUGGAAACUUCUAACGGACCCAUUUCCACUAAACCGGGAUGGAGCAGAGGAAUGCCGGAGAUUUCCUUGAUAGAUGAGGAGUUUGGGAGCUUCUCCAGCUUUUAUGAGAGAACAUGCCAGCAGUGACCGAGGGCUGCAGAAAGUGAGCUGAAUAAUCUGUUCAUCCGCAAAACCAGCCAGAAGCUCUUCAAAUAAUGCAGGAGAAUUGAAUGUCCGCAGAGUAAACCAUGACAAAAUCCCACAAAGCCAAGAAGUCCUGAUGCUUCCCAUUGGUCCUGCUCUCUCUGGGGAAAUGAAGCCGUAUCUGAGUCCCGCUGGCCGGUAUGUAGGAGUCACAUGCAUCAUUUAUUUAUGAAAGUAAAAAUUGCUCUCCCUUUGGGCCAGUGAACAUCUGCUGCUGCUUCUGCUCUCUUCUCUGAUAAAAACAGAAUCACCUGCUCAUGCAAAUAUCACUUUCACUUCUGGUUUUUAUUUUCUGGUUAUCAUGAUAUUGAUGAAACGUUGGAUAUGUGUAUAUUUUUAGACUUUUAAUAGAUAGUUGUUUUCAUAAUUUUUAUUGGAUUAAGUAGUUGC